GGAGCAGGCCAGAUGAUCGCCGGCUGCCUUCGGGCGGCCGGAGGAAAGUCCGAGCUCCACAGGGCAGGGUGCUGGGUAAUCCCCAGCGGGGGCAACCCCAGGGAAAGUGCCACAGAGACCAGACCGCCGUGGUACGUCCACGGUAAGGGUGAAAAGGUGAGGUAAGAGCUCACCAGCGGCAGUGGCGACAUUGCCGGCUUGGAAAACCC
This 209-nucleotide non-coding RNA is filed under the name Deltaproteobacteria bacterium RBG_13_60_28. RNAcentral describes it as "partial RNase P RNA component class A". It matches the Rfam family "Bacterial RNase P class A", at positions 1 to 213 of the family's 367-position model. Rfam says of the family: Ribonuclease P (RNase P) is a ubiquitous endoribonuclease, found in archaea, bacteria and eukarya as well as chloroplasts and mitochondria. Its best characterised activity is the generation of mature 5'-ends of tRNAs by cleaving the 5'-leader elements of precursor-tRNAs. Cellular RNase Ps are ribonucleoproteins. Lineage: Bacteria; Deltaproteobacteria. The record is from RNAcentral.